This 115-nucleotide ribosomal RNA is filed under the name Pteropus alecto (black flying fox). Lineage: Eukaryota; Metazoa; Chordata; Mammalia; Chiroptera; Pteropodidae. The record is from RNAcentral.
GUCUACGACCAUGCCACUCUGAACAAGCCCGAUGUCGAUCUCGGAAGCUAAGCACGGUCGGGCCUGGUUAGUACUUGGAUGGGAGACCACCUAGGAAGACCAGGUGCUGUAGGCA